Molecule: ribosomal RNA, 699 nt
Filed under: uncultured bacterium
Lineage: Bacteria
Description: bacterial SSU rRNA
Rfam family: Bacterial small subunit ribosomal RNA
Source: RNAcentral
UGCAGUCGAACGAGAAAGGGGAGCAAUCCCUGAGUACAGUGGCGACCGGGUGAGUAACACGUGACUACCUGCCCUUGAGUGGGGGAUAACCUCGGGAAACCGAGGCUAAUACCGCAUAAUAUCGCAAGAUCAAAGGAGCAAUCCGCUUUUGGAGGGGGUCGCGGCUGAUUAGCUAGUUGGUGAGGUAACGGCUCACCAAGGCGAAGAUCGGUAGCCGGCCUGAGAGGGCGCACGGCCACACUGGAACUGAAACACGGUCCAGACUCCUACGGGAGGCAGCAGUGGGGAAUUUUGCGCAAUGGGGGAAACCCUGACGCAGCAACGCCGCGUGGAGGAUGAAGCCCCUUGGGGCGUAAACUCCUUUCGACCGGGACGAUGAUGACGGUACCGGUGGAAGAAGCACCGGCUAACUCUGUGCCAGCAGCCGCGGUAAUACAGAGGGUGCGAGCGUUGUUCGGAAUUAUUGGGCGUAAAGGGCGCGUAGGCGGUGCGGUAAGUCACCUGUGAAACCUCUGGGCUUAACUCAGAGCCUGCAGGCGAAACUGCCGUGCUGGAGGGUGGGAGAGGUGCGUGGAAUUCCCGGUGUAGGGGUGAAAUGCGUAGAUAUCGGGAGGAACACCUGCGGCGAAAGCGGCGCACUGGACCACUACUGACGCUGAGGCGCGAAAGCCGGGGGAGCAAACAGGAUUAGAUACCCUG